GUCCACGCCGUAACUAUGAUUACUCGAUGUUUGCGAUACACUGUAAGCGUCUAAGCGAAAGCGAUAAGUAAUCCACCUGGGGAGUACGCUCGCAAGAGUGAAACUCAAAGGAAUUGACGGGGCCCCGCACAAGCGGAUGAGUAUGUGGUUUAAUUCGAUGAUACGCGAGGAACCUUACCUGGGCUUGAAAGUUAGUGACCGGUCCUGAAAAGGGAUCUUCCAGCAAAUGGCACGAAACUAGGUGCUGCAUGGCUGUCGU
RNAcentral lists this ribosomal RNA (259 nucleotides) under uncultured bacterium. RNAcentral describes it as "partial 16S ribosomal RNA". It matches the Rfam family "Bacterial small subunit ribosomal RNA", at positions 793 to 1055 of the family's 1533-position model. The record is from RNAcentral.